RNAcentral lists this ribosomal RNA (301 nucleotides) under uncultured bacterium. RNAcentral's name for it is "partial 16S ribosomal RNA". It matches the Rfam family "Bacterial small subunit ribosomal RNA", at positions 509 to 807 of the family's 1533-position model. The record is from RNAcentral.
CAGCAGCCGCGGGAAUACGGAGGGGGCUAGCGUUGUUCGGAAUUACUGGGCGUAAAGCGCACGUAGGCGGACUGGAAAGUCAGAGGUGAAAUUCCAGGGCUCAACCUUGGAACUGCCUUUGAAACUAUCAGUCUGGAGUUCGAGAGAGGUGAGUGGAAUUCCGAGUGUAGAGGUGAAAUUCGUAGAUAUUCGGAGGAACACCAGUGGCGAAGGCGGCUCACUGGCUCGAUACUGACGCUGAGGUGCGAAAGCGUGGGGAGCAAACAGGAUUAGAUACCCCAGUAGUCCCUGUCUCUUAUAC